UACGUAGGGUGCGAGCGUUAAUCGGAAUUACUGGGCGUAAAGCGUGCGCAGGCGGUUUUUUAAGACAGGCGUGAAAUCCCCGGGCUUAACCUGGGAACUGCGUUUGUGACUGGAAGGCUAGAGUAUGGCAGAGGGGGUGGAAUUCCACGUGUAGCAGUGAAAUGCGUAGAGAUGUGGAGGAACACCGAUGGCGAAGGCAGCCCCCUGGGCCAAUACUGACGCCUCAUGCACGAAAGCGUGGGGAGCAAACAGG
This 253-nucleotide ribosomal RNA is filed under the name uncultured bacterium. RNAcentral describes it as "partial 16S ribosomal RNA". It matches the Rfam family "Bacterial small subunit ribosomal RNA", at positions 524 to 776 of the family's 1533-position model. The record is from RNAcentral.